GGUUCCUUAAUAAUACAUUUAUUCAAAACUGUCUAGACUCUUUUUAAAGUCUCUGUCUAGACCAUCGCUGGAAAGUGAUGGUGGAAGGUAGUGGAAGGAGUGUUCAAGGAGGAGUUCAGAGGCAUUAUAAGCAGCAGCACAGGUAACCAAUGCAGAACGUGAGACCCUGGUUUCUCAGCUGGCUCCUUGACUGACCAAUUACUUUCUGAUUUUGAGCCAGUGGUGCUGGGUUGAGAGGAUUGAGAAAUAAAGCUGAAGAUAAAAGCAAAGCAAAGAGCCCAGG
Long non-coding RNA from Mustela lutreola (European mink), 283 nucleotides. RefSeq lists it as uncharacterized. NCBI's taxonomy places the organism in Eukaryota, Metazoa, Chordata, Mammalia, Carnivora, Mustelidae. The transcript has 3 exons. The record is from RefSeq and is a predicted model, not a curated record.